RNAcentral lists this long non-coding RNA (2767 nucleotides) under Homo sapiens (human). RNAcentral's name for it is "HSALNT0007315". The record is from RNAcentral. Lineage: Eukaryota; Metazoa; Chordata; Mammalia; Primates; Hominidae.
GACACUUUCAUGGCUCUGGGAAAGUUAUCCACUUUUCCUAACUAGGUUCCCCAUCCCCAGUCCUCUUGUUCAAGUUAACCCACACUCAAGUCCUGCAUAGCAUCUGUGUCACUGACAGAUGGUGAGAUACUGGGUGUGGAGUGAGAUCAUCACAAUCAGAACAGUUAGAGAAUCCAGAAAAACUGAGAGUGUUGGCAGGGGCCCUUAGGACAAUGGCAAAGGAUCCAUUAUCCUUCUGCUCUUCAGGUCUCAUAUGUGACUUUAGCCAGAGUGAGGCCAAUUUACAGUUAUUCCUAGAGCCCAGUGCAAUUUGCACAUGAUGAGAAGAUGCACAUUCAUGGCCAAAGUGGAAGAUUUGGAUAACAGGCUGGCUGCAGAAAUGCUCCCCUAUGCAUGAGGCCAGCACAUGGCCGCAUGGUCUCCUCAGUGCUGCCCAGAGCAUUAUUAUAUUUCCAUAUUGGUCUGGAGGCCAAAUGAAUAGAAACCAGGCAUUUAAAAGGGAUCUGGGAAUGGCCAGCAGUUAACGCUCCCACUACAGUGGAGGAUGGUUCUACCCUUUCCUGACCCAUACAUCUCUCAAAUCACUUUGGUCCUUCUAAAGCCUUGGCUGUAAAUGAGGCUGACCAGCUAUUGAGAAGAAGCUUAGACCUAAAAUGAGAAAAGGAAAAUAAUCCCACCAAAUGAAAUCUCACCAGAAAGGUAACAUGUUUAUUAAAAAAAAAAAAAAAAAAAAAAACAAACCAGUUAUUGUAGGGUUAGCACUGAGCUAGGUAGAGAAUGAGUAAGAACAAAUUUCUGCCCUUGAAGGCCCCACUGCCUACUUGACAGAGACAGGCACAUGGGCAGAGGGACAAAGGCAAGGUGGUGAGCUGAGCUGGAGUCCAGAGGCUCAGUGUAUGGCCCAUGCACAGCAGGUAAGAAUACAUGUUCUGGAUGGGGCUGACCAAAGGCAAACCCCAGCCCUCCCACUGACCAGCCUUUUAACCUGAUCUGCGUGACCCUCAUUUCCCUGGGUCUUGGCUUUCUCAUCUGUAAAAUGGGGGGUGAGUGCCCACUCACAGUUGUUGUGAAAAUAAAAUGAGUUUAUGCACCAGAAGUUCUUCAUGCCUAGUCUGAUGCAAGCCCACACAAGAACACUGGUGUUGUCAUAAUGGAUGGCCUCUGGUGGCAGUAGUGAAAUUCCUCCAACAGCUUUGUGGGCCCUGGAUUGGAGCUGGAAAGAAAGACCAUGGUGAAUGCCACUUGUGAUGGGUCCAGCUGACAGUCGGACUUGGGGGCCCUUGGGAAACUGCCUUUGAAGAUCCUCAGAAAUACUUGGGAGGGUGGUGAGUUUAUGAAGGACUCACAGAGGCUACCAUAUGGAUAGGAAUAAAACCAGUUGUGUUGUUGCAAGACCAAUUAUGGGAUGAAUGAUGAAGGAACUGUGGAAAUACAGAACUAAGUAAAUCACCUUCUGCUGUCAUCAGAGAAGGCUCAAUGCAGGGGCAUCACUGGCACUAGCUCUGGAAGGUUAAGGGACAUGGCACAGGUGAUUAACUGCCACAGCAAUAGAUGCCUUUGAAUGAAUACACUGACCUCCAUGCUCAGUUCCGCCUGGCUGAUGUGCAUGCAGAUUGUUCCCCUGUGGCUUGAGUAGCAUCUUCUGCUCUAGGAGACAAUGGGAAACAGGAUCUCAUUGACACAGGCCACCUCCUUUCCCAAGAGCCCUUCAUUUUGAUGACAAAGGACUCUUACCUUGCAAUAUGAACAAAGGCCAAAUGGCUUGUCUUCAUCCAGCAUCCUCAUUCAGAACUAGCCAACUGAGAUCUGUCACAUGGGGCCAUGGUAGUGGGGCCUGCCACAUCCCACCUCCCUAUAAGCUGUCACACCAGCUCUUGGCAGUGUGAGCCUGGGCUGCUGGCCACUCUGUAAAUGUAGCUACAUGAGGAAGAAAAAUAGACAUUAAAGCAGAAAAGGAGGUACGAUCCCUAGGGCUGCUUUCAGGAUGACAAAGGGUCGGAAACAGCAACUCCUGAGAGCAGGAGCCAUGCCUUUGCAAACACUGGGAUGUGCACAUACCUGCCUUAAGUCCAUGCAAGGGAGUGUGCAAGAGUGUGAGAGAGAAGCUAUGCCUCCCCAACUCCUCAUAAGGAGAAACAGUUCAAACUCUUAGACUUUGAUAGAACUUUCCAACAUAUGUGAAAUCAGCUACCUAAAUUAUGAGUCAUAAGUCACAUACCAAUUGCUAUGGUUUGAAUGUUUGUGUCUCCUCCAAAAUUUAUGUUGAACCUUAAGAGAUUUAUACCUUAUGAAAGAGCCAGAGAGAACUAGCUGGGCCUUUUUGAGCCCUUCUGUUCUCUGGAGGAUGCAGUGUUCAAGGCGCCAUCUUGGAAGCAGAGACCGGCCCUCACCAGAUAUGUGGCCCUCACGAGACACAAAAACUGCAGUCAUCUUGCUCCAGACUCCUCGACUGUGAGCAAUAAAUUUGUGCUGUUUACAAAUUACACAGUUAAGGUAUUUUGCUGUAGCAGCACAAACAGACUAAGAUACCAACUGACCUGCGGAUUUUGUGGAGAGACCUACCACUCCUACAUCCUAGUACUCUGAGCCUCUAAACAUGGCUUUCAUGUGGUAUGUCUAUGCCUUGAAGUCCAGACCCAAGAAAAACAAACCCAAAGAGAGACGGGGGUUCCCUGCUUGAGUUUUCUGUCUAAAGACUCACUUUUCUGGAUGAUGGAACAUGGGAGUGAUUGACAUUGGAAAAGAUUUCUUACUUCCAGGCAAGCCC